AUUAACAAGAAAUUAAUUUAUUUACCUUUUGUAUCAGGGUUUUUUAAAAUUAUUAAUAAGUUAUUUUUCUCGAAUCAAUAAUGAACUAAUUGAUUUAUUUUUGUUGUAGCAAAUAAUUAAUUAUUUUAGUAAUGAAAUAUUAUCGUAUUUUGGGUUAUCUAGUUAUUUAAAUAUUUUAAGUUAUAGUUAAUUAUUAAUUAAUUAAGUAGAAAAGUUAAUUUUUUUAUUUUUUUAUAUAUAUAUUAUUUUUUAUAUUUUAUUAAUUAGGUUUAAUAUUAAUCAUAUUUAUCUAUUGUUAUAAAUAAUUAAAUGUUUAAUUGUUUGUGUUAUAUUUAUUUAAGUUAUUAAAAUUAAUAAAUUAUUUUAAAAAAUAAUGAAUUAAUUAGUACUAGGUAAAUAUUGUAUAUUUAACUCGUAGUUUAUUUGAUAGUUUAACAAAAACAUUUUUUUAAGUUUAUUUAAGAUAAGGCCUGCCCAGUGAAUUUAAACGGCUGCAGUAUUUUAACUGUACUAAGGUAGCAUAAUCAUUUGUUUUUUAAUUGAAAACUGGUAUGAACGGUCUUACAAAUAAUUAAUUGUAAUAUAUUUAUUUUAGUAAUUUUUAUUUUAUAUAAAAAUAUUUAAAUGUGAUAAAGGGACGAUAAGACCCUAAAAGCUUUUUUAUUAGUUUUAUUUAAAAUAAGUAAAAUAAAUAAAUUUAGUUGGGGUAACGUAAAUAUAAAUUUUAUUUUAUGUUUGAUCAGUAAUAAUUGGUUUUUUGAUCUUUUAUAUGAAGAAAAAUAGAAUUAGUUACUUUAGGGAUAACAGCGUAAUAAUUUUAGAAAGGCCUUAUUAAUAAAGUUGAUUACGACCUCGAUGUUGAAUUAAAAUAUCUGUGUGCUGUAGUAGGUACUUAAGAAGGUUUGUUCAACCUUUUAUUUUUUACAUGAUUUGAGUUCAAAU
Molecule: ribosomal RNA, 942 nt
Filed under: Niphargus rhenorhodanensis
Lineage: Eukaryota; Metazoa; Arthropoda; Malacostraca; Amphipoda; Niphargidae
Description: partial 16S ribosomal RNA
Source: RNAcentral